RNAcentral lists this ribosomal RNA (430 nucleotides) under uncultured bacterium. RNAcentral describes it as "bacterial SSU rRNA". It matches the Rfam family "Bacterial small subunit ribosomal RNA", at positions 354 to 796 of the family's 1533-position model. The record is from RNAcentral.
GUGGGGAAUAUUGCACAAUGGGCGAAAGCCUGAUGCAGCAACGCCGCGUGAGGGACGACGGCCUUCGGGUUGUAAACCUCUUUUAGUAGGGAAGAAGCGAAAGUGACGGUACCUGCAGAAAAAGCACCGGCUAACUACGUGCCAGCAGCCGCGGUAAUACGUAGGGUGCAAGCGUUAUCCGGAAUUAUUGGGCGUAAAGAGCUCGUAGGCGGUCUGUCGCCUCUGCUGUGAAAACUGGAGGCGCAACCUCCAGCCUGCAGUGGGUACGGGCAGACUAGAGUGCGGUAGGGGAGAUUGGAAUUCCUGGUGUAGCGGUGGAAUGCGCAGAUAUCAGGAGGAACACCGAUGGCGAAGGCAGAUCUCUGGGCCGUAACUGACGCUGAGGAGCGAAAGCGUGGGGAGCGAACAGGAUUAGAUACCCGAGUAGUCC